CGCCAGACUCCUACGGGAGGCAGCAGUGGGGGAUAUUGCACAAUGGGGGAAACCCUGAUGCAGCGACGCCGCGUGUGGGAAGACGGUCCUCUGGAUUGUAAACCACUGUCCCCAGGGACGAAGAUGACGGUACCUGGGGAGGAAGCUCCGGCUAACUACGUGCCAGCAGCCGCGGUAAUACGUAGGGGGCAAGCGUUAUCCGGAUUUACUGGGUGUAAAGGGGGCGCAGACGGCAAUGCAAGCCAGGAGUGAAAGCCCGGGGCCCAACCCCGGGACUGCUCUUGGAACUGCAUGGCUGGAGUACAGGAGGGGCAGGCGGAAUUCCUAGUGUAGCGGUGAAAUGCUUAGAUAUCACGAAGAACUCCGAUUGCGAAGGCAGCCUACUAAACUGCCACUGACAUUGAUGCUCGAAAGUGUGGGUAUCAAACAGGAUUAGAUACCCUAGUA
This 447-nucleotide ribosomal RNA is filed under the name uncultured bacterium. RNAcentral's name for it is "partial 16S ribosomal RNA". It matches the Rfam family "Bacterial small subunit ribosomal RNA", at positions 329 to 792 of the family's 1533-position model. The record is from RNAcentral.